AUCACUGCACAUAGUUGCACAUUUCUUUUUUCUUGUGAUGAGACCCAUUAUUCCUGAGAAAUUAAAUGGAUUUUUGGAACUAGGGGUUGGAAUAGGAGCUUGCUCUGUCCACUUCAUGCAUCAACCUGGUAUUGCAGUACUUCCAGGAAUGGUGCACCUCCU
Molecule: small nuclear RNA, 162 nt
Organism: Capra hircus (goat)
Lineage: Eukaryota; Metazoa; Chordata; Mammalia; Artiodactyla; Bovidae
Gene: U2
Rfam family: U2 spliceosomal RNA
About the family: U2 is a small nuclear RNA (snRNA) component of the spliceosome (involved in pre-mRNA splicing). Complementary binding between U2 snRNA (in an area lying towards the 5' end but 3' to hairpin I) and the branchpoint sequence (BPS) of the intron results the bulging out of an unpaired adenosine, on the BPS, which initiates a nucleophilic attack at the intronic 5' splice site, thus starting the first of two transesterification reactions that mediate splicing.
Source: Ensembl